Molecule: long non-coding RNA, 1155 nt
Filed under: Capra hircus (goat)
Lineage: Eukaryota; Metazoa; Chordata; Mammalia; Artiodactyla; Bovidae
Description: lncRNA (ENSCHIG00010029180.1)
Source: RNAcentral
CAAGAAUAUUGGAGUGGAUUGCCAUUCCCUUCUCCAGGGGAUCUUCCUGAUUCAGGGAUUGAACCUGAGUCUCCUGCGUUGCAGGAGGAUUAUUUACCAUCUGAGCCACUAGGGAAGCCCAACAGUGCUGUAUGUCAAUGACAUCUCAAGCAAAACUAGAAGGAAAAACUAUUUAAGACACUGUUUUAUUUUAGCAUCCUAAAGCUAAAAGUGUCCUAUAUUGAUUAUUUUGCAGAUAAAGCAUUUUAUAUACAGUCUAAAAUUCCGUAAAUUAUCAUUAAAAAUACACAGAAAAUGGAAGCAGCGCAUCUGAAAACGGUGUUUUUCUUUUAACCUUUUCUAAUAUUUUUCUAAUUAAAAUGAACCUUUAAAUAUAAAAUAUUAUGGCUUUUAAAAGGGUGACUAUAUUUACUCUUUUGGACAUGAAUUUGAGCAAACUCUGGGAGAUAGUGAAGGACAGGGAAGCCUGGCAUGCUACAGUCGAUGGGGAUGCAAGCAGUCAGACCUGACUUAGUGACUGAACAACAACAAUGUACUCUUUUCUGCGUCAUGAGAAUUUGAAAGUCAGUUAAGCAAUUAAUACUUCAUUUAAAAUGUAUCCUUUUGUUUGGGAUAUGCCAAAUAUGUAAAGUGGCUUUCCAGUCCCUAGAAUGUUCAACAACUUUCUAUCAACAAAAUAUUGCCAAAGCAUAGUGACAUGUAUAGAUUUAAAUUUAAAUAAGGUUUAAAAAAAGAAAAAUGAGCCACCAAGUUUGACCCAGUUCAGUUUCUACUAAGUGAGUAAGUAGACUGAAUAUUUAAGGAAAUCAAAGACCACUUCAUUGCUGGACUGAAUAAACUGACUUCACGUGAGUGCCCAGAAGAGAAGCCACAUCUAUAGACAUAAUAUUCAAGAAACCGAAGCCUCGGUUCUUCACUCAGCUCUCCUCCUUAUUGGCCUUAUGGAAAUUAGCUGGGUAUUCGACCAACGGGAGCCGCCAUUCCUCAUGAACUGAAUGGGAAUGCUAGCAUAUGCUAUCAUAUGGAUCAGUCCAAAAAGGUUUUGAAAAUCAUAUAAUAUUAUGGAAACAAGCAUAUGGUGUUAUCAUUACUAGUUCUGGUUUAUACUCAGUAUCAGCAGCACUGAUCUAACACAGCAGGUCAGAGACAAGUCAC